AGAGUUUGAUCCUGGCUCAGAACGAACGCUGGCGGCGUGCUUAACACAUGCAAGUCGAGUGCGCGGUGCCGUAGCAAUACGGUACUGGUGCACGGCGCACGGGUGCGUAACACGUGGGUAAUCUGCCCUCUGAUGGGGAAUAACCCCGCGAAAGCGGGGCUAAUACCGCAUAACAUUCCUUGGACUCCGGUUUGAGGACUCAAAGCCGUAAGGCGUCGGAGGUGGAGCCCGCGCACGAUUAGCUAGUUGGUAGGGUAACGGCCUACCAAGGCUAUGAUCGUUAGCUGGUCUGAGAGGAUGGCCAGCCACACUGGAACUGAGACACGGUCCAGACUCCUACGGGAGGCAGCAGUGGGGAAUCUUGCGCAAUGGGCGAAAGCCUGACGCAGCGACGCCGCGUGGGGGAUGAAGCUUCUCGGAGUGUAAACCCCUUUCGACCGGGACGAAUGCCCGCAAGGGAGUGACGGUACCGGUAUAAGAAGCCCCGGCUAACUACGUGCCAGCAGCCGCGGUAAGACGUAGGGGGCCAGCGUUGUUCGGAAUUACUGGGUGUAAAGGGUUCGUAGGCGGCGUGGCAAGUCGGGAGUGAAAUCUCUGGGCUCAACUCAGGGGCUGCUUCCGAAACUGCUGUGCUAGAGUGUGGGAGAGGCGCGUGGAAUUGCAGGUGUAGCGGUGAAAUGCGUAGAUAUCUGCAGGAACACCCGUGGCGAAAGCGGCGCGCUGGACCACUACUGACGCUGAGGAACGAAAGCUAGGGGAGCAAACAGGAUUAGAUACCCCCGUAGUCC
This 788-nucleotide ribosomal RNA is filed under the name uncultured bacterium. RNAcentral describes it as "bacterial SSU rRNA". It matches the Rfam family "Bacterial small subunit ribosomal RNA", at positions 8 to 796 of the family's 1533-position model. The record is from RNAcentral.